GUCGCAAGACCAAAGUGGGGGACCUUCGGGCCUCAUGCCAUCAGAUGUGCCCAGAUGGGAUUAGCUUGUAGGUGGGGUAACGGCUCACCUAGGCGACGAUCCCUAGCUGGUCUGAGAGGAUGACCAGCCACACUGGAACUGAGACACGGUCCAGACUCCUACGGGAGGCAGCAGUGGGGAAUAUUGCACAAUGGGCGCAAGCCUGAUGCAGCCAUGCCGCGUGUGUGAAGAAGGCCUUCGGGUUGUAAAGCACUUUCAGCGGGGAGGAAGGCGGUGAGGUUAAUAACCUCAUCGAUUGACGUUACCCGCAGAAGAAGCACCGGCUAACUCCGUGCCAGCAGCCGCGGUAAUACGGAGGGUGCAAGCGUUAAUCGGAAUUACUGGGCGUAAAGCGCACGCAGGCGGUCUGUCAAGUCGGAUGUGAAAUCCCCGGGCUCAACCUGGGAACUGCAUUCGAAACUGGCAGGCUAGAGUCUUGUAGAGGGGGGUAGAAUUCUAGGUGUAGCGGUGAAAUGCGUAGAGAUCUGGAGGAAUACCGGUGGCGAAGGCGGCCCCCUGGACAAAGACUGACGCUCAGGUGCGAAAGCGUGGGGAGCAAACAGGAUUAGAUACCCUGGUAGUCCACGCCGUAAACGAUGUCGAUUUGGAGGUUGUGCCCUUGAGGCGUGGCUUCCGGAGCUAACGCGUUAAAUCGACCGCCUGGGGAGUACGGCCGCAAGGUUAAAACUCAAAUGAAUUGACGGGGGCCCGCACAAGCGGUGGAGCAUGUGGUUUAAUUCGAUGCAACGCGAAGAACCUUACCUGGUCUUGACAUCCACAGAACUUAGCAGAGAUGCUUUGGUGCCUUCGGGAACUGUGAGACAGGUGCUGCAUGGCUGUCGUCAGCUCGUGUUGUGAAAUGUUGGGUUAAGUCCCGCAACGAGCGCAACCCUUAUCCUUUGUUGCCAGCGGUCCGGCCGGGAACUCAAAGGAGACUGCCAGUGAUAAACUGGAGGAAGGUGGGGAUGACGUCAAGUCAUCAUGGCCCUUACGACCAGGGCUACACACGUGCUACAAUGGCAUAUACAAAGAGAAGCGACCUCGCGAGAGCAAGCGGACCUCAUAAAGUAUGUCGUAGUCCGGAUUGGAGUCUGCAACUCGACUCCAUGAAGUCGGAAUCGCUAGUAAUCGUAGAUCAGAAUGCUACGGUGAAUACGUUCCCGGGCCUUGUACACACCGCCCGUCACACCAUGGGAGUGGGUUGCAAAAGAAGUAGGUAGCUUAACCUUCGGGAGGGCGCUUACCACUUUGUGAUUCAUGACUGGGGUGAAGUCGUAACAAGGUAACCGUAGGGGAACCUGCGGUUGGAUCACCUCCUUACCUUAAAGAA
RNAcentral lists this ribosomal RNA (1369 nucleotides) under Klebsiella pneumoniae. Its description in RNAcentral is "bacterial SSU rRNA". It matches the Rfam family "Bacterial small subunit ribosomal RNA", at positions 192 to 1533 of the family's 1533-position model. The record is from RNAcentral. Lineage: Bacteria; Pseudomonadati; Pseudomonadota; Gammaproteobacteria; Enterobacterales; Enterobacteriaceae.